This 497-nucleotide ribosomal RNA is filed under the name uncultured bacterium. RNAcentral describes it as "partial 16S ribosomal RNA". It matches the Rfam family "Bacterial small subunit ribosomal RNA", at positions 28 to 507 of the family's 1533-position model. The record is from RNAcentral.
GAUGAACGCUGGCGGCGUGCCUAAUACAUGCAAGUCGAGCGAACAGACGAGGAGCUUGCUCCUCUGACGUUAGCGGCGGACGGGUGAGUAACACGUGGAUAACCUACCUAUAAGACUGGGAUAACUUCGGGAAACCGGAGCUAAUACCGGAUAAUAUAUUGAACCGCAUGGUUCAAUAGUGAAAGACGGUUUUGCUGUCACUUAUAGAUGGAUCCGCGCCGCAUUAGCUAGUUGGUAAGGUAACGGCUUACCAAGGCAACGAUGCGUAGCCGACCUGAGAGGGUGAUCGGCCACACUGGAACUGAGACACGGUCCAGACUCCUACGGGAGGCAGCAGUAGCGAAUCUUCCGCAAAGGGCGAAAGCCUGACGGAGCAACGCCGCGUGAGUGAUGAAGGUCUUCGGAUCGUAAAACUCUGUUAUUAGGGAAGAACACAUGUGUAAGUAACUAUGCACGUCUUGACGGUACCUAAUCAGAAAGCCACGGCUAACUACGUG